Long non-coding RNA from Cynara cardunculus var. scolymus (artichoke), 1059 nucleotides. RefSeq lists it as uncharacterized. Lineage: Eukaryota; Viridiplantae; Streptophyta; Magnoliopsida; Asterales; Asteraceae. The transcript has 2 exons. The record is from RefSeq and is a predicted model, not a curated record.
ACUCUUUUCAAUUUUUUGUUUUUGUUUUUAGGGGCGGAUUUAGGCUUAGGCUACAUGGUGCCGAUGCAUCUACUCUAUCGUCCUGCCGCAAUGGAAACCUUUUUCUAUUCGUGUUGAAAAUUUCAUGUGCUUUGGAUUUUUCUAAAUUUAUCCCUACUUUUGCUCAUAUCUUUUAAUCUAUAUGCAAUUUAGUCUCUGAAUUUACAGAUCUAGAUUUCCUUCAAGUUAGAUCUAAUUUUCUUUCAAAAUUCUUGUUUCAAGGGUCAAAGUGAUUUCUGAUCGGAUAUCGCUGGUAAACAUUUUAAUUUAAAAGGUUAUUGAUUGUUUUCAACAAUCUGAAGAAACAAAUGCUAGAUCUGACUUGCACGGCCGUUUUGCCGAAUAAUUCUGUUUUCGAUCUGGACAUUGAUGCUGAUCAUCUUAUCGUUGUUCAUAAAUUCUACGUGUUCUUGAGUUUCAGAAUAAUGCGUAAAAACGAUGUAUAUAUGAUACAUGUUUUUCUUCUUCACUGUUGCUGGAUGAAAUGUCUAGAGCUCUGAAGAAUCCCCAUUGGGCCACUACAUUAUUUAAGAAACCAAAUCCACAAGGUGAAACAAGAGUCAUCGGAGUUGGCUGCAUCUGUUGAACCCGAGGGACUGAGGUGGUGGUUUGAAUGGAGGAAAGCAUUUUUGAGACUCUAUCGUUACGCCAUCAAUUAUAUUUCAUUCAUUGCUAAGAUUAAAACUUCUUCACAAUCUUUUCUUUGAGUUCAGAAUAACUGCACAACGAAGGCAUUUGAGAUGCACAACAAAGGCAUUUGAGAUGCACAACGAUCCAACUAAAUCAUUUGCAAAGAUGCACAUCGAAGGCAUUCAUUUGAGAUGCAGAACAAAGGCAUUUGGGAUUGAUGAAGGGGAAUUGAGGUUCUUUAGAAGCUUGUUUUGUGGAUAGGGAUGUGAUUUGUACAAGUUCUAAUUUAUGAUUAUUGUGUACAAAAAUUUUGAUUACCAUAUUUAAUUACGGUUCAAAUGUUUAUAAUUGUAUCUUUUAUGUUCAAUGCAUAUAUGGUUUUUGAUGAAA